Molecule: ribosomal RNA, 460 nt
Filed under: uncultured bacterium
Lineage: Bacteria
Description: partial 16S ribosomal RNA
Rfam family: Bacterial small subunit ribosomal RNA
Source: RNAcentral
CCUACGGGUGGCAGCAGUGAGGAAUAUUGGUCAAUGGACGAGAGUCUGAACCAGCCAAGUAGCGUGAAGGAUGACUGCCCUAUGGGUUGUAAACUUCUUUUAUAUGGGAAUAAAAUGUUCCACGUGUGGGAUUUUGUAUGUACCAUAUGAAUAAGGAUCGGCGAACUCCGUGCCAGCAGCCGCGGUAAUACGGAGGAUCCGAGCGUUAUCCGGAUUUAUUGGGUUUAAAGGGAGCGUAGGUGGAUUGUUAAGUCAGUUGUGAAAGUUUGCGGCUCAACCGUAAAAUUGCAGUUGAAACUGGCAGUCUUGAGUACAGUAGAGGUGGGCGGAAUUCGUGGUGUAGCGGUGAAAUGCUUAGAUAUCACGAAGAACUCCGAUUGCGAAGGCAGUUCACUGGACUGCAACUGACACUGAGGCUCGAAAGUGUGGGUAUCAAACAGGAUUAGAUACCCGUGUAGUC